This 643-nucleotide long non-coding RNA is filed under the name Solanum tuberosum (potato). RNAcentral's name for it is "long non-coding RNA (STUB_LNC008025)". The record is from RNAcentral. Lineage: Eukaryota; Viridiplantae; Streptophyta; Magnoliopsida; Solanales; Solanaceae.
ACAUUUAAGGGACAAUAUUACAAGUUUUAAACACAUUCUUAAAAAAUUCUUACUUAUAACAGUUUAUUUAAGGGUUAUAACAUAUUACUUAAAUUUAACUUUAUUUAAAAUUAAUUAAAGAUUUAUUUAAAAAUGAUUAAUCUCUUUGUAUUUUUAUAUUAUUAAUUAUUAAUAGCUAGCUAAUAUAAUUUCAGUUCCUUUUUUAAAAUCGAAAUUAUCAGUUACACGAAUUUAGGGAUUUACAUUGAUUAGACUUCCUUUUUUACCGUUACACUCCAAUUACCUCAUACACCAAUCACAAUUCCCGCCCACCCAAGCCUAUCAGUUUAUACGCCACCACCCCACUACCCCCAUAUUCACAAUUUUCACUCCCAUCUUCCUCACCACUCCACCAUCACAUUCACAACCGUCCAUCCAAUCCUUCUCACAACCACAAUCGUCACUCUUGUUACGUUUUUCAUCAUCAGCAUGUCUAAGAAACACACUGAAACUCCUCGAAAGAGUGCAAGAUCUGUUGAAGGAACUUAUAUUCAUGAAGAUCAUGUUCCAACUUUCAAUAUAUUAACUCAAACCCCCCCGCCUAAAAGGGCUGAAAUUCCGGCGGCGUGUGGUUCAUCUCGGUUGAAAGAUAAAAAAGAAAAAA